GAUGAACGCUGGCGGCGUGCCUAAUACAUGCAAGUCGAACGAGUUCUGAUUAUUGAAAGGUGCUUGCAUCUUGAUUUAAUUUUGAACGAGUGGCGGACGGGUGAGUAACACGUGGGUAACCUGCCCUUAAGUGGGGGAUAACAUUUGGAAACAGAUGCUAAUACCGCAUAAAUCCAAGAACCGCAUGGUUCUUGGCUGAAAGAUGGCGNAAGCUAUCGCUUUUGGAUGGACCCGCGGCGUAUUAGCUAGUUGGUGAGGUAACGGCUCACCAAGGCAAUGAUACGUAGCCGAACUGAGAGGUUGAUCGGCCACAUUGGGACUGAGACACGGCCCAAACUCCUACGGGAGGCAGCAGUAGGGAAUCUUCCACAAUGGACGCAAGUCUGAUGGAGCAACGCCGCGUGAGUGAAGAAGGCUUUCGGGUCGUAAAACUCUGUUGUUGGAGAAGAAUGGUCGGCAGAGUAACUGUUGUCGGCGUGACGGUAUCCAACCAGAAAGCCACGGCUAACUACGUGCCAGCAGCCGCGGUAAUACGUAGGUGGCAAGCGUUAUCCGGAUUUAUUGGGCGUAAAGCGAGCGCAGGCGGUUUUUUAAGUCUGAUGUGAAAGCCCUCGGCUUAACCGAGGAAGUGCAUCGGAAACUGGGAAACUUGAGUGCAGAAGAGGACAGUGGAACUCCAUGUGUAGCGGUGAAAUGCGUAGAUAUAUGGAAGAACACCAGUGGCGAAGGCGGCUGUCUGGUCUGUAACUGACGCUGAGGCUCGAAAGCAUGGGUAGCGAACAGGAUUAGAUACCCUGGUAGUCCAUGCCGUAAACGAUGAAUGCUAGGUGUUGGAGGGUUUCCGCCCUUCAGUGCCGCAGCUAACGCAUUAAGCAUUCCGCCUGGGGAGUACGACCGCAAGGUUGAAACUCAAAGGAAUUGACGGGGGCCCGCACAAGCGGUGGAGCAUGUGGUUUAAUUCGAAGCAACGCGAAGAACCUUACCAGGUCUUGACAUCUUUUGAUCACCUGAGAGAUCAGGUUUCCCCUUCGGGGGCAAAAUGACAGGUGGUGCAUGGUUGUCGUCAGCUCGUGUCGUGAGAUGUUGGGUUAAGUCCCGCAACGAGCGCAACCCUUAUGACUAGUUGCCAGCAUUUAGUUGGGCACUCUAGUAAGACUGCCGGUGACAAACCGGAGGAAGGUGGGGAUGACGUCAAAUCAUCAUGCCCCUUAUGACCUGGGCUACACACGUGCUACAAUGGAUGGUACAACGAGUUGCGAGACCGCGAGGUCAAGCUAAUCUCUUAAAGCCAUUCUCAGUUCGGACUGUAGGCUGCAACUCGCCUACACGAAGUCGGAAUCGCUAGUAAUCGCGGAUCAGCACGCCGCGGUGAAUACGUUCCCGGGCCUUGUACACACCGCCCGUCACACCAUGAGAGUUUGUAACACCCGAAGCCGGUGGCGUAACCCUUUUAGGGAGCGAGCCGUCUAAGGUGGGACAAAUGAUUAGGGUGAAG
This 1495-nucleotide ribosomal RNA is filed under the name Lacticaseibacillus rhamnosus. RNAcentral's name for it is "bacterial SSU rRNA". It matches the Rfam family "Bacterial small subunit ribosomal RNA". The record is from RNAcentral. Lineage: Bacteria; Bacillati; Bacillota; Bacilli; Lactobacillales; Lactobacillaceae.